Psammomys obesus (fat sand rat) is the source of this 107-nucleotide small nuclear RNA. Lineage: Eukaryota; Metazoa; Chordata; Mammalia; Rodentia; Muridae. The record is from RefSeq and is a predicted model, not a curated record.
GUGCUCGCUUUGGCAGCACAUAUACUAAAAUUGGAAUAAUACUGAGAAGAUUAGCAUGGCCCCUGCACAAGCAUGACACUCAAAUUCAUGAAGCAUUCCAUAAUUUU